Molecule: small RNA, 50 nt
Filed under: Arabidopsis thaliana (thale cress)
Lineage: Eukaryota; Viridiplantae; Streptophyta; Magnoliopsida; Brassicales; Brassicaceae
Description: ATSL086890
Source: RNAcentral
AAUUCAUUUCUUAAGAGUUAAGAACAAGAAGACAAUAUUUGGAGAAAUAU